GACUCUGAGUGGUGGAUUACUCAGCUCAUGCAUCAAUGAAGAACGUAGCAAGCUGCGAGAACUAAUGUGAAUUGCAGGACACAUUGAUCUCAACACUUUGAAUGCACUUUGCAGCCCUGGGUUAUUCCUGGGGCUGUGCCUGUAUGAGAGUCA
Protopterus annectens (West African lungfish) is the source of this 153-nucleotide ribosomal RNA. RefSeq annotates it as 5.8S ribosomal RNA. The record is from RefSeq and is a predicted model, not a curated record. The transcript has a single exon. Lineage: Eukaryota; Metazoa; Chordata; Ceratodontiformes; Protopteridae.